GUGAGUAAUGCUUAGGAAUCUGCCCAGUAGUGGGGGACAACAGUCGGAAACGGCUGCUAAUACCGCAUACGCCCUACGGGGGAAAGCAGGGGAUCUUCGGACCUUGCGCUAUUGGAUGAGCCUAAGUCGGAUUAGCUAGUUGGUGAGGUAAAGGCUCACCAAGGCCACGAUCCGUAGCUGGUUUGAGAGGAUGAUCAGCCACAUCGGGACUGAGACACGGCCCGAACUCCUACGGGAGGCAGCAGUGGGGAAUAUUGGACAAUGGGGGCAACCCUGAUCCAGCCAUGCCGCGUGUGUGAAGAAGGCUUUCGGGUUGUAAAGCACUUUCAGCGAGGAGGAAGGCUCUAAAGCUAAUACCUUUAGGGAUUGACGUUACUCGCAGAAGAAGCACCGGCUAACUCCGUGCCAGCAGCCGCGGUAAUACGGAGGGUGCAAGCGUUAAUCGGAAUUACUGGGCGUAAAGCGCGCGUAGGUGGUUGAGUAAGCGAGAUGUGAAAGCCCCGGG
Molecule: ribosomal RNA, 505 nt
Filed under: Marinobacter sp.
Lineage: Bacteria; Pseudomonadati; Pseudomonadota; Gammaproteobacteria; Pseudomonadales; Marinobacteraceae
Description: bacterial SSU rRNA
Rfam family: Bacterial small subunit ribosomal RNA
Source: RNAcentral